AUGAACGCUGGCGGUGUGCCUAACACAUGCAAGUCGAGCGAACCCUUCGGGGUGAGCGGCGGACGGGUGAGUAACGCGUGGGUAACCUGCCCUGUACACACGGAUAACAUACCGAAAGGUAUGCUAAUACGAGAUGAUAUAUAAAAGUUGCAUGACUUUUAUAUCAAAGCUUUUGCGGUACAGGAUGGACCCGCGUCUGAUUAGCUAGUUGGUAAGGUAACGGCUUACCAAGGCGACGAUCAGUAGCCGACCUGAGAGGGUGAUCGGCCACACUGGAACUGAGACACGGUCCAGACUCCUACGGGAGGCAGCAGUGGGGAAUAUUGCACAAUGGGCGAAAGCCUGAUGCAGCAACGCCGCGUGAGCGAUGAAGGCCUUCGGGUCGUAAAGCUYUGUCCUCAAGGAAGAUAAUGACGGUACU
This 421-nucleotide ribosomal RNA is filed under the name uncultured bacterium. RNAcentral describes it as "bacterial SSU rRNA". It matches the Rfam family "Bacterial small subunit ribosomal RNA", at positions 29 to 479 of the family's 1533-position model. The record is from RNAcentral.